This is a long non-coding RNA of Orcinus orca (killer whale), 3258 nucleotides long. RefSeq lists it as uncharacterized. NCBI's taxonomy places the organism in Eukaryota, Metazoa, Chordata, Mammalia, Artiodactyla, Delphinidae. The record is from RefSeq and is a predicted model, not a curated record. The transcript is spliced from 3 exons.
CAGGUAGGGACUCCUCGAACCGGAGUGAUACUGAUUUGGGAGGAAGCGGAUCUUAAGCUAUUUAUAGGGUGGGGGCUAUGGGAGGUCCAAAGUAACAAGGAUCCCUUGAGGCGGUUUUAAAGGAAUGAGCCUCCCCUUCCGUUGGCUGCAGUGGAAACGCCCACAGGCUGGGAGACCCAAGACCGCUCCAGGGCUGUGGCCCGGAGGCACGUGGGUGUCCGAGUGGAAGACAGCAUCCGUGUGUGCGUGUGAGUGGACGUGUGAAUCCGGCAAAGGGUGUCCGCCCCCGACGCCGUCGGCGGGACAUGUUGCGUUAAACGAAAUUAAGCGCGAUAAAGCCCCCACUGUGUGCUAUGGCGAUGCUGAGGAAGACGACGUCCCUUUCCUCAAGAAUGUUAUCCUCAGGCAAAGGGGGCCGAAGGUGGCAAGAGAAAUCAGACCUAAAGCUUUACAAGAAGGUAACACUGUUCCAGGCGUCUUUUCAGAGGAUCAUCAGGUAUCCUGAACAGGAGAAUGUGGCUCUCAGACCUCUCACUGGGACUGCAAAGGCUUUGAGAGAACCAGUUGCAGCCUCCUGGAAAGUGUCAGGCUGUAGAGAAAAGGUCAGAGCUUCGGGCUAAGAAAACCUUCGGCAGGAGGACUAGGGUGCUGUGUGCUAGUCAGACAUAGACCUUGAAGGGCUGCUGUGACAAUGAAUUAUGUGCUUCAUACACAAUACUGUAUAUGAUGUGGGGAAGUAAUAAUGGCUAAUAUUUAUUGAGCAUUUAUUAUGUGCUACACUUUGUUGCAAGUAACUCAUGUAAUUGUUACAACCACCCUGUGAGGUGGGUGCAGUCGCCACCCUUUUGUGGAUUAAAAACUCAGACACCGGGCUUCCCUGGUGGCCACCGCCAUGAGAAGCCUUGCACCGCAACGAAGAGUAGCCCCUGCUCGCUGCAACUAGAGAAAGCCCGCGUGCAGCGACGAAGACCCAACACAGCCAUAAAUAAAUAAAUAAAUAAAUAAAAUACAAAACGCAGGCACCCAUAAUUUAUGUUACCCACCCAAAGAUUACACUGCUACUCGUGGUGUGGAGUCUGGAUUUAAACCGAGGCAAGUGGUUCCGAAGCCCAAGCAAUUAGCUGCGAAGCUUUAUUGCCACCUUGGCACAUAAUAGAUAGUAAAUAAAUACUAGUUUCCCAUCUUUUCACCUAAGAUAGGCUUGUUGAAUUGGAAGCCGUUUUCAAAGUAGGGGAAAAUAGGACUUCCCUGGCGGUCCAGGGGUUGAGACUCCACGCUUCCACUGCAGGGGACGCAGGUUGCAUCCCUGAUCGGGGAACUAAGAUCCCACAUGCCAUGUGGUGUGGCCAAAAAAGGAAAAAAAAAAAAAAGGAAAAAACUAAGUAGAGGAAAAUAGUGUCCCCCUGUUGCAGGAAGGGGGACCCCUUCCAGGGCCCGAGAGUGGGCUCUUGUCUAACACUCGGAAAUGAAUUGUCCACGGAGACACACAUACUGACAAAACAAGAGACAUUUUUGGGAAGGGGCGCCCGGGUGGAGAGCCGGAGGGUGAGGGAACCCAGGAGGACUGCUCUGCCACGUGGCUUGCAGUCUCGGGCUUCAUGGUGAUGGGAUUAGUUUCCGGGUUGUCUCUGGCCAAUCACUCUGACUCAGGGUCCUUCCUGGUGGUGCGCGCAUCACUCAGCAAAGAGGGAUUCCAGCGAGGGGGAUUCUGGGAGGUUGGUAGGACGUAUGGACUGGUAUCUCCUCUCUCCUUUUGACCUUUCCCGAAUUCUUCCGGUUGGUGAUAGCUUAUUAGUUCCACAUUCUUUACCAGGACCUCCUGUUGUACGAUAACUACUGCGAGUGGUUACUGUGGUGCUUGGCCAGGGCGGGCGGUUUCGGUCAGAAGGAAUAAAUCCAGGAAAUAGCUGAUUAAUAAUGAGUGUAAUUUCUUGGAUUUAAUGAUGCAAUAUUAACUCUAGGAGCACAGCUGGAUUUUUAACUAGUACUUAAUGAAAUAUGUAUUUUUAUGGAAAAAUUUAAAACCAAAACCACUGGAGAAGGAAUGAUUGUAAAAAUCAGAACACAUUAAAAGUCACAGGAGGGACUUCCCUGGUGGUCUGGUGGUUAAGACUCCACGUUCCCAAUGCAGGGGGCCCGGGUUCGAUCCCUGGUUGGGGAGCUAGAUCCCACAUGCCGCAACUAAAGAUCCCACACGCCGCAACUAAAAGAUCCCGUGUGCCACAACUAAGACCCCGCGUGGCCAAAAAUAAAUACAUAAAUAAAUAAUAAAAAAAAAAUCACAGGCAAGGGAACGAAUACGGUUUGAGCAUCUGCUAUGUCCCAAGCACGGCACUGGGUGAUUUACCAACCUGGUUUUGUUUAAUUUUCAUAACAUUCCUGAGAGAUAGAGAUUAUCCCAGUGUCUGAUGAGGGAGCCGUGGUUCACAGAGGCUCAGAAGCUUGCCCAAGAUCACAGAUGUGGCAAGUGUCGGAGCCAAGAGUCACAUAACUCCCACCGGAGUCCUCAGCUGAUGGCUUCCCCCUACCCCUGCCUCUGCUCCCAAAGUCACGUGGCCGUAUUCCUCAUGACUCCGUGACUGCCAAGAUUCACAAGUCAUGAAGUGUCUUUGGCUGGAAUUGUCAGCGCCUGUGCGGGGGUUCUUCGCGGAAACCCUCGUCCUCGGUACGGCGGUUGAACGAGUGCGAAUGUGUGUUGAACGGAGCUUCACCUUGGCGGCUCUGAGCCAGGAUAAAGCCUCCUCUGGCUGCUCCUGUCCCCCACAGCACUGAUGUCCUGCUGCUCUCUCUGAAUUUAGCAGGGAUCCAAGCUUUCGACUUAGUUCUGUUCGACUUAAAUGCACACAGGCCUGUGGUCCCUGGAGGGCCCAUGUGGUAGCCAUAUUGGGGUUUAUUUAUAUGAACCACCAAGGAGGCUCUGACAAAUGCUUUGCAAGACAGGAGUCAAAGCACACGGAGCUUUUUCUUCCGUUUCAGAGGGGAGGGGUGAUUAUCUUUUUUUUCGCCAACCCCGAAGGACUCUAGUCUUGAGUCCUAAGGGAGCAGGGCCUGGGAGGAAAACUGGAGAGAAUGGUUUGCUUAAAAUCUCUGUGAUGGGGACCCAUGUAUCACGCACGAUAACACAAAGGCCAUUUUGAGGCCCAUCCGUAGAGGCCCCGGCAGCACAUUGCUGAAAGUCUAAGGACAGUUGAGGUGUCCAAGGAGAGCUGAGAGGUCUCAAGUGUGACCACACGGGGCUCACAUCCCGGAGGGUGAGGG